RNAcentral lists this ribosomal RNA (379 nucleotides) under uncultured eukaryote. Its description in RNAcentral is "partial 18S ribosomal RNA". It matches the Rfam family "Eukaryotic small subunit ribosomal RNA", at positions 592 to 976 of the family's 1831-position model. The record is from RNAcentral.
CAAUAGCAUAUGUUAAAGUUGUUGCGGUUGGAAAGCUCGUAGUUGGACUUCUGCUGAGGGUUGCUAACCCACCCUCUGGGCGUAGGUCUGGCCUGCCUCAGUAUCUUCUUGGAGAGUGUAGAUGCACUUGACUGUGCGGUGCGCUAUCUGAGGCGGUUACUUUGAGGAAAUUAGAGUGCUUCAAGCAGGUCAUUGCCCCGAAUACAUUAGCAUGGCAUGAUAAUUCAGAACCUCUUGUUCUUCUUUGAUGGUUGUAGAGCGGAGGGGAAGGUGAAUAGGAACAGCUGGGGGCAUUCAUAUUUGACUGUCAGAGGUGAAAUUCUUGGAUUUGUGAAAGAUGGACUACUGCGAAAGCAUCUGCCAGAGAUGUCUUCAUUGA